UCCCCAUGCUGGCCAGUGUUCCCUGGCCAUGUCAUAACGUCUGUGCAGGAUGAGACUGGAUGUGUGGGAGUUACCAGGCCCAAGGGACUGGCCACGGCUCCUCCUGGCCCAGGGAGGAAGUCCCAAGCCUGUGCCAAAGGGUCAUUUGGUGCUGCCUGUGGGGGAGGCUGAAAGCGCAGACGCGGCUGAGCCCGUGCUCUGCAUCACUGGGGCCUGGGAGGUUCUACUCUGCACCCGUGUGUCUGAGCAGGGGGGGCUGGGAGGUUCUACUCUGCGCCCGUGUGUCUGAGCGGGGGUGCUGGGAGGUUCCCCGGCCUCUUUGGGGUCUCUAGUGAAGAACAGAAUCUGCAGCCAGGCCCUGGCCAGCUGGCCCAUGCACAGUUACUGGGCCUGGGGGUGGCUCCUCUCUUUGGGUCUUGGCUUUGUCAGGCUAGUGUGGUCCAGGUCCAGGUCCCGUGCGCGUCUCGGACUUGCUUAGCCAUCCGGUCCUCUGCCUGCAGGAGGCUGUGGCCAGGAGGUUCCCGACCAUGGGGAGGCCAUUGAACCUCAGACAGAUCACAGUCUGGAGAUGUAGGAUGCAUCUUGUCCCCUGCCCCCAGUUGUACUGGUCUCUGUUGGCCGUACUGGUGUUCCCUGGCAGCCUCUCCCUAGUGUCUCUAGCCCAGCCUCAGGGCAGCACACGCAGCUGGACUGACUUGCACUUUCUCUUGAAACUUGGGAGAUGUGUGGCAGCAGGGAGCCUUGCUGUAAACACUUCCCCUGGAUAAAUGGGGACUCUGGAAAUAGGUCCCAGAGGGAAGAGUUGAAAGGAGUCCACCUGUUAAGUGCUCCGGCGGGGCUGGGGGCGGGAGAAGCCGGCGCAACAUUGAGAGGCCUUAGUAGGGAGCUUGUGAUUCUGGUAGUUCAGAACAUGGAACGUUUCUUUGACUUUUGCCAACACCUUUUUCCUACCUGUAUUAAAGGUACCUAAAAAGGGACAGGGGUGU
Pelodiscus sinensis (Chinese soft-shelled turtle) is the source of this 986-nucleotide non-coding RNA. NCBI's taxonomy places the organism in Eukaryota, Metazoa, Chordata, Testudines, Trionychidae. The record is from RefSeq and is a predicted model, not a curated record.